GAUGAACGCUGGCGGCGUGCCUAACACAUGCCAGUCGAGCGAAGCGCUUAAAUUAGAUUUCUUCGGAAUGACGAUUUUUGUGACUGAGCGGCGGACGGGUGAGUAACGCGUGGGUAACCUGCCUCAUACAGGGGGAUAACAGUUAGAAAUGACUGCUAAUACCGCAUAAGACCCCAGCUUCGCAUGAAGCGGUGGUAAAAACUCCGGUGGUAUGAGAUGGACCCGCGUCUGAUUAGCUAGUUGGUAAGGUAACGGCUUACCAAGGCGACGAUCAGUAGCCGACCUGAGAGGGUGACCGGCCACAUUGGGACUGAGACACGGCCCAGACUCCUACGGGAGGCAGCAGUGGGGAAUAUUGCACAAUGGGGGAAACCCUGAUGCAGCGACGCCGCGUGAAGGAUGAAGUAUUUCGGUAUGUAAACUUCUAUCAGCAGGGAAGAAAGUGACGGUACCUGACGAAGAAGCCCCGGCUAACUACGUG
Molecule: ribosomal RNA, 481 nt
Filed under: uncultured bacterium
Lineage: Bacteria
Description: partial 16S ribosomal RNA
Rfam family: Bacterial small subunit ribosomal RNA
Source: RNAcentral